AAGACCCUUUUGCACAACUCUUAAGUUUCCUUUUUUUUUUUUUCUUUCUCUUUUUUUUUCUUUCUUUUUUUAAAUCUCAUUCUAAUUUUCUGCAUUGUUUGGGAAAUAAAGUGAAAAAUCUAAGACCAAUAGAAACUGGUUUUCAAAAAAGGUAAAUACACUCCCAUCUGUUUCAGAUGCUGCUGAUCAUUUCAGCAGUGACAGAUUCAAAUAAUAAGCUAAUUUUUGGAGAAAGGAUUAAAAGAAAAAAAACUUUGUAAUAUUUAUCACUUGCAAGCUAUGUUUAAUAAAGAAAGGAAUGGUUUCUAAA
RNAcentral lists this long non-coding RNA (310 nucleotides) under Marmota monax (woodchuck). Lineage: Eukaryota; Metazoa; Chordata; Mammalia; Rodentia; Sciuridae. The record is from RNAcentral.